GAAAUGCGAUAAGUAAUGUGAAUUGCAGAAUUCAGUGAAUCAUCGAAUCUUUGAACGCACCUUGCGCUCCUUGGUAUUCCUUGGAGCAUGCCUGUUUGAGUAUCAUGAAAUCUUCAAAGUAAAUCUUUUGUUAACUCAAUUGGUUUCUACUUUGGUAUUGGAGGUCUUUGCAGCUUCACACCUGCUCCUCUUUGUUCAUUAGCUGGAUCUCAGUGUUAUGCUUGGUUCCACUCGGCGUGAUAAGUUAUCUAUCGCUGAGGACACUGUAAAAGGUGGCCAAGGUAAAUGCAGAUGAACCGCUUCUAAUAGUCCAUUGACUUGGACAAUACUUUUAUGAUCUGAUCUCAAAUCAGGUAGGACUACCCGCUGAACUUAGGC
This 378-nucleotide unclassified non-coding RNA is filed under the name plant metagenome. RNAcentral's name for it is "partial contains 5.8S ribosomal RNA, internal transcribed spacer 2, and large subunit ribosomal RNA". The stretch from base 1 to 105 matches the Rfam family "5.8S ribosomal RNA", at positions 50 to 154 of the family's 154-position model. The record is from RNAcentral.